AGGAAGGCUCUUGGGUCGUAAACCUCUUUUCUUAGGGAAGAACAAAAUGACGGUACCUAAGGAAUAAGCAUCGGCUAACUCCGUGCCAGCAGCCGCGGUAAUACGGAGGAUGCAAGCGUUAUCCGGAAUGAUUGGGCGUAAAGCGUCCGCAGGUGGCGAUGAAAGUCUGCUGUUAAAGAGUCUAGCUCAACUAGAUAAAAGCAGUGGAAACUACAUAGCUAGAGUACGUUCGGGGCAGAGGGAAUUCCUGGUGUAGCGGUGAAAUGCGUAGAGAUCAGGAAGAACACCAGUGGCGAAGGCGCUCUGCUAGGCCGUAACUGACACUGAGGGACGAAAGCUAGGGGAGCGAAUGGGAUUAGAUA
This 362-nucleotide ribosomal RNA is filed under the name uncultured cyanobacterium. Its description in RNAcentral is "bacterial SSU rRNA". It matches the Rfam family "Bacterial small subunit ribosomal RNA", at positions 408 to 784 of the family's 1533-position model. The record is from RNAcentral. Lineage: Bacteria; Bacillati; Cyanobacteriota.